RNAcentral lists this ribosomal RNA (500 nucleotides) under uncultured bacterium. RNAcentral describes it as "partial 16S ribosomal RNA". It matches the Rfam family "Bacterial small subunit ribosomal RNA", at positions 30 to 523 of the family's 1533-position model. The record is from RNAcentral.
AUUGAACGCUGGCGGCAUGCCUUACACAUGCAAGUCGAACGGCAGCACGGGAGCAAUCCUGGUGGCGAGUGGCGAACGGGUGAGUAAUAUAUCGGAACGUGCCCAGUCGUGGGGGAUAACGCAGCGAAAGCUGUGCUAAUACCGCAUACGAUCUAUGGAUGAAAGCGGGGGAUCGCAAGACCUCGCGCGAUUGGAGCGGCCGAUAUCAGAUUAGCUAGUUGGUGGGGUAAAGGCCCACCAAGGCGACGAUCUGUAGCUGGUCUGAGAGGACGACCAGCCACACUGGAACUGAGGCACGGUCCAGACUCCUACGGGAGGCAGCAGUGGGGAAUUUUGGACAAUGGGCGCAAGCCUGAUCCAGCAAUGCCGCGUGCAGGAUGAAGGCCUUCGGGUUGUGAACUGCUUUUGUACGGAACGAAACGGUCCUUUCUAAUACAGAGGGCUAAUGACGGUACCGUAAGAAUAAGCACCGGCUAACUACGUGCCAGCAGCCGCGGUAA